RNAcentral lists this ribosomal RNA (254 nucleotides) under uncultured Singulisphaera sp. RNAcentral's name for it is "partial 16S ribosomal RNA". It matches the Rfam family "Bacterial small subunit ribosomal RNA", at positions 524 to 776 of the family's 1533-position model. Lineage: Bacteria; Pseudomonadati; Planctomycetota; Planctomycetia; Isosphaerales; Isosphaeraceae. The record is from RNAcentral.
GACGAACCGUGCGAACGUUAUUCGGAAUCACUGGGCUUAAAGCGCGUGUAGGCGGAUGGGAACGUCGGUCGUUGAAAGCCCCCGGCUCAACCGGGGAACUGGCACCGAAACGACCCGUCUGGAGGGGCAUAGGGGGAUCUGGAACUUCCGGUGGAGCGGUGAAAUGCGUUGAGAUCGGAAGGAACGCCCGUGGCGAAAGCGAGAUCCUGGAUGUCUUCUGACGCUGAGACGCGAAAGCUAGGGUAGCGAACGGG